Molecule: ribosomal RNA, 465 nt
Filed under: uncultured bacterium
Lineage: Bacteria
Description: partial 16S ribosomal RNA
Rfam family: Bacterial small subunit ribosomal RNA
Source: RNAcentral
CCUACGGGAGGCAGCAGUGGGGAAUAUUGCGCAAUGGGCGAAAGCCUGACGCAGCGACGCCGCGUGAGGGAUGAAGGUCUUCGGAUCGUAAACCUCUGUCAGCAGGGAAGAACGGUCAAUGUGCUAAUCAGCAGUGAAUUGACGGUACCUGCAAAGGAAGCACCGGCUAACUCCGUGCCAGGCGCCGCGGUAAUAGGGAGGGUGCGAUCGUUAAUCGGAAUUAUUGGGCGUAAAGCUCUCGUAGGCGGUAUUGCAAGUCAAGGGUGAAAUCCCCGCGCGAAACGUGGGAACUGCCUUUGAAACUGGCAAACUAGAGGGUGUGAGAGGAAAGUGGAAUUCCAGGUGUAGGAGUGAAAUGCGUAGAUAUCAGGAGGAACAUCAGUGGCGAAGGCGACUAUCUGGAACAUAACUGACGUUGAGGAUCGAAAGCGUGGGUAGCAAACAGGAUUAGAUACCCUGGUAGUC